UACGUAGGGUGCAAGCGUUGUCCGGAAUUAUUGGGCGUAAAGAGCUCGUAGGCGGUCUGUUGCGUCGGCUGUGAAAACCCGGGGCUCAACUCCGGGCCUGCAGCCGAUACGGGCAGACUAGAGUUCGGCAGGGGAGACUGGAAUUCUUGGUGUAGCGGUGAAAUGCGUAGAUAUCAAGAGGAACACCUGAGGUGAAGACGGGUUGCUGGGCUGACACUGACGCUGAGUGCGCGAAAGCCAGGGGAGCAAACGGG
Molecule: ribosomal RNA, 254 nt
Filed under: uncultured bacterium
Lineage: Bacteria
Description: partial 16S ribosomal RNA
Rfam family: Bacterial small subunit ribosomal RNA
Source: RNAcentral